Molecule: ribosomal RNA, 207 nt
Filed under: uncultured bacterium
Lineage: Bacteria
Description: partial 16S ribosomal RNA
Rfam family: Bacterial small subunit ribosomal RNA
Source: RNAcentral
AGCGUAGACGGCAAGGCAAGUCUGAUGUGAAAACCCAGGGCUUAACCCUGGGACUGCAUUGGAAACUGUCUGGCUCGAGUGCCGGAGAGGUAAGCGGAAUUCCUAGUGUAGCGGUGAAAUGCGUGGAUAUUAGGAAGAACACCAGUGGCGAAGGCGGCUUACUGGACGGUAACUGACGUUGAGGCUCGAAAGCGUGGGGAGCAAACA